GCAAGUCGAACGGUAAAUAUGCAGCAAUGUAUAUGAGAGUGACGUACGGGUGCGUAACACGUAUGCAACCUACCCUUUACAGGUGGAUAGCUCGGGGAAACUCGAAUUAAGCCACCAUAAGAUCAUAGAGUGGCAUCACUUCGUGAUUAAAUUACAAGAGGUAAAGGAUGGGCAUGCGUCUGAUUAGUUAGUUGGUGCGGGUAACGGCCCACCAAGACGAUGAUCAGUAGGGGAACUGAGAGGUUGAUCCCCCACACUGGCACUGAGAUACGGGCCAGACUCCUACGGGAGGCAGCAGUAGGGAAUAUUGGUCAAUGGAUGGAAGUCUGAACCAGCCAUGCCGCGUGCAGGAAGAAGGCCUUCUGGGUUGUAAACUGCUUUUGCCAGGGGCUAAAAAGCUCAUGCGUGGGAAAUUGAAAGUACCUGGUGAAUAAGCCACGGCUAACUACGUGCCAGCAGCCGCGGUAAUACGUAGGUGGCAAGCGUUGUCCGGAUUUAUUGGGUUUAAAGGGUGCGUAGGCGGCUUUGUAAGUCAGUGGUGAAAUAUGGCAGCUUAACUGUCAGGGUGCCAUUGAUACUGCGAGGCUUGAGUACAGAUGAGGUAGGCGGAAUUGACGGUGUAGCGGUGAAAUGCUUAGAUAUCGUCAAGAACACCUAUAGCGAAGGCAGCUUACUAGGCUGUAACUGACGCUGAGGCACGAAAGUGUGGGGAUCAAACAGGAUUAGAUACCCUGGUAGUCCACACUGUAAACGUUGAUGACUCGCUGUUGGCGAUA
RNAcentral lists this ribosomal RNA (776 nucleotides) under uncultured microorganism. RNAcentral describes it as "bacterial SSU rRNA". It matches the Rfam family "Bacterial small subunit ribosomal RNA", at positions 57 to 831 of the family's 1533-position model. The record is from RNAcentral.